GACGAACGCUGGCGGCGUGCUUAACACAUGCAAGUCGAACGGUGACGCGAGUGCUUGCACUCGUGGAUCAGUGGCGAACGGGUGAGUAACACGUGAGUAACCUGCCCAUCACUCUGGGAUAAGCACUGGAAACGGUGUCUAAUACUGGAUACGACCAACCCUUGCAUGGGGUGUUGGUGGAAAGAUUUUUUGGUGAUGGAUGGAAUGGCGGCCUAUCAGCUUGUUGGCGGGGUAAUGGCCCACCAAGGCGACGACGGGUAGCCGGCCUGAGAGGGUGACCGGCCAAGCUGGGACUGAGACACGGCCCAGACUCCUACGGGAGGCAGCAGUGCGGAAUAUUGCACAAUGGGCGAAAGCCUGAUGCAGCGAAGCCGCGUGAGGGAUGACGGCCUUCGGGUUGUAAACCUCUUUCAGCAGGGAAGAAGCGAAAGUGACGGUACCUGCAGAAGAAGCACCGGCUAACUACGUG
This 469-nucleotide ribosomal RNA is filed under the name uncultured bacterium. RNAcentral describes it as "partial 16S ribosomal RNA". It matches the Rfam family "Bacterial small subunit ribosomal RNA", at positions 28 to 507 of the family's 1533-position model. The record is from RNAcentral.